This 710-nucleotide ribosomal RNA is filed under the name Roseovarius sp. Its description in RNAcentral is "bacterial SSU rRNA". It matches the Rfam family "Bacterial small subunit ribosomal RNA", at positions 37 to 796 of the family's 1533-position model. The record is from RNAcentral. Lineage: Bacteria; Pseudomonadati; Pseudomonadota; Alphaproteobacteria; Rhodobacterales; Roseobacteraceae.
GGGGGGCAGGCUACACAUGCAAGUCGAGCGAGAACUUCGGUUCUAGCGGCGGACGGGUUAGUAACGCGUGGGAACGUGCCCUUCACUACGGAAUAGUCCCGGGAAACUGGGUUUAAUACCGUAUACGCCCUUCGGGGGAAAGAAUUUCGGUGAAGGAUCGGCCCGCGUUAGAUUAGAUAGUUGGUGGGGUAACGGCCUACCAAGUCUACGAUCUAUAGCUGGUUUUAGAGGAUGAUCAGCAACACUGGGACUGAGACACGGCCCAGACUCCUACGGGAGGCAGCAGUGGGGAAUCUUAGACAAUGGGCGCAAGCCUGAUCUAGCCAUGCCGCGUGAGUGAUGAAGGCCUUAGGGUCGUAAAGCUCUUUCGCCAGGGAUGAUAAUGACAGUACCUGGUAAAGAAACCCCGGCUAACUCCGUGCCAGCAGCCGCGGUAAUACGGAGGGGGUUAGCGUUGUUCGGAAUUACUGGGCGUAAAGCGCGCGUAGGCGGAUUGGAAAGUUGGGGGUGAAAUCCCAGGGCUCAACCCUGGAACUGCCUCCAAAACUAUCAGUCUAGAGUUCGAGAGAGGUGAGUGGAACUCCGAGUGUAGAGGUGAAAUUCGUAGAUAUUCGGAAGAACACCAGUGGCGAAGGCGGCUCACUGGCUCGAUACUGACGCUGAGGUGCGAAAGUGUGGGGAGCAAACAGGAUUAGAUACCCUGGUAGUCC